RNAcentral lists this long non-coding RNA (340 nucleotides) under Rattus norvegicus (Norway rat). Its description in RNAcentral is "long non-coding RNA NONRATT006925". Lineage: Eukaryota; Metazoa; Chordata; Mammalia; Rodentia; Muridae. The record is from RNAcentral.
CAGACUCUACAGUGUACUUCCUCCACUGCUCAGGAACCCUGCCCUCCCAAACCUCCAAGGGCUCAUGAACUAAAAUUGCAGGUGAAGAAUAUCCGAGUUUCCCUGCUAAACCACCCUGGUGCUUCAGGCAUUAGCCAUAUGUGUGUGGCCCAGCUGAACGAGCCUGCACAGCGAUUCAUCAGCACCCUAGUGAGAAACACUACUGACCUCAGCUGGGAGGAGGAGUUCACCUUGUGAGUACAGCCUUGCAUCCUCAGAGGCCUGGUAGUGACAAGAUGGACAGAUCCUGGAGCCACUGUGUAGCACUGUUUAUACUAAAAAUUAUUAAAGAAAUGAAAAC